RNAcentral lists this ribosomal RNA (1839 nucleotides) under Staphylococcus aureus F54494. RNAcentral describes it as "bacterial LSU rRNA". It matches the Rfam family "Bacterial large subunit ribosomal RNA", at positions 1082 to 2925 of the family's 2925-position model. Lineage: Bacteria; Bacillati; Bacillota; Bacilli; Caryophanales; Staphylococcaceae. The record is from RNAcentral. RNAcentral also lists the same sequence under 1 other name.
UGCCCAGACAACUAGGAUGUUGGCUUAGAAGCAGCCAUCAUUUAAAGAGUGCGUAAUAGCUCACUAGUCGAGUGACACUGCGCCGAAAAUGUACCGGGGCUAAACAUAUUACCGAAGCUGUGGAUUGUCCUUUGGACAAUGGUAGGAGAGCGUUCUAAGGGCGUUGAAGCAUGAUCGUAAGGACAUGUGGAGCGCUUAGAAGUGAGAAUGCCGGUGUGAGUAGCGAAAGACGGGUGAGAAUCCCGUCCACCGAUUGACUAAGGUUUCCAGAGGAAGGCUCGUCCGCUCUGGGUUAGUCGGGUCCUAAGCUGAGGCCGACAGGCGUAGGCGAUGGAUAACAGGUUGAUAUUCCUGUACCACCUAUAAUCGUUUUAAUCGAUGGGGGGACGCAGUAGGAUAGGCGAAGCGUGCGAUUGGAUUGCACGUCUAAGCAGUAAGGCUGAGUAUUAGGCAAAUCCGGUACUCGUUAAGGCUGAGCUGUGAUGGGGAGAAGACAUUGAGUCUUCGAGUCGUUGAUUUCACACUGCCGAGAAAAGCCUCUAGAUAGAAAAUAGGUGCCCGUACCGCAAACCGACACAGGUAGUCAAGAUGAGAAUUCUAAGGUGAGCGAGCGAACUCUCGUUAAGGAACUCGGCAAAAUGACCCCGUAACUUCGGGAGAAGGGGUGCUCUUUAGGGUUAACGCCCAGAAGAGCCGCAGUGAAUAGGCCCAAGCGACUGUUUAUCAAAAACACAGGUCUCUGCUAAACCGUAAGGUGAUGUAUAGGGGCUGACGCCUGCCCGGUGCUGGAAGGUUAAGAGGAGUGGUUAGCUUCUGCGAAGCUACGAAUCGAAGCCCCAGUAAACGGCGGCCGUAACUAUAACGGUCCUAAGGUAGCGAAAUUCCUUGUCGGGUAAGUUCCGACCCGCACGAAAGGCGUAACGAUUUGGGCACUGUCUCAACGAGAGACUCGGUGAAAUCAUAGUACCUGUGAAGAUGCAGGUUACCCGCGACAGGACGGAAAGACCCCGUGGAGCUUUACUGUAGCCUGAUAUUGAAAUUCGGCACAGCUUGUACAGGAUAGGUAGGAGCCUUUGAAACGUGAGCGCUAGCUUACGUGGAGGCGCUGGUGGGAUACUACCCUAGCUGUGUUGGCUUUCUAACCCGCACCACUUAUCGUGGUGGGAGACAGUGUCAGGCGGGCAGUUUGACUGGGGCGGUCGCCUCCUAAAAGGUAACGGAGGCGCUCAAAGGUUCCCUCAGAAUGGUUGGAAAUCAUUCAUAGAGUGUAAAGGCAUAAGGGAGCUUGACUGCGAGACCUACAAGUCGAGCAGGGUCGAAAGACGGACUUAGUGAUCCGGUGGUUCCGCAUGGAAGGGCCAUCGCUCAACGGAUAAAAGCUACCCCGGGGAUAACAGGCUUAUCUCCCCCAAGAGUUCACAUCGACGGGGAGGUUUGGCACCUCGAUGUCGGCUCAUCGCAUCCUGGGGCUGUAGUCGGUCCCAAGGGUUGGGCUGUUCGCCCAUUAAAGCGGUACGCGAGCUGGGUUCAGAACGUCGUGAGACAGUUCGGUCCCUAUCCGUCGUGGGCGUAGGAAAUUUGAGAGGAGCUGUCCUUAGUACGAGAGGACCGGGAUGGACAUACCUCUGGUGUACCAGUUGUCGUGCCAACGGCAUAGCUGGGUAGCUAUGUGUGGACGGGAUAAGUGCUGAAAGCAUCUAAGCAUGAAGCCCCCCUCAAGAUGAGAUUUCCCAACUUCGGUUAUAAGAUCCCUCAAAGAUGAUGAGGUUAAUAGGUUCGAGGUGGAAGCAUGGUGACAUGUGGAGCUGACGAAUACUAAUCGAUCGAAGACUUAAUCAA